Molecule: ribosomal RNA, 459 nt
Filed under: uncultured bacterium
Lineage: Bacteria
Description: partial 16S ribosomal RNA
Rfam family: Bacterial small subunit ribosomal RNA
Source: RNAcentral
CCUACGGGAGGCAGCAGUGAGGAAUAUUGGUCAAUGGCCGGAAGUCUGAACCAGCCAAGCAGCGUGAAGGACGAAGGUGCCAAGCAUUGUAAACUUCUUUUGUCAGGGGACAAAAUCAUGCUCGAGAGCCUGACCGAGUGUACUUGAAGAAAAAGCAUCGGCUAACUCCGUGCCAGCAGCCGCGGUAAUACGGGGGAUCCGAGCGUUAUCCGGAUUGAUUGGGUUAAAAGGGUGCGUGGGGGGGUGGUUAAGUCAGCGGUAAAAUCCGGGGGCUCAACCCCGGCGAGCCGUUGAAACUGGCUGUCUUGAGAUGAGGAGAGGUAUGCGGAAUGCGCGGUGUAGCGGUGAAAUGCAUAGAUAUCACGCAGAACUCCGAUUGCGAAGGCAGCAUACCGGAGUCCAACUGACGCUGAGGCACGAAAGUGUGGGUAUCGAACAGGAUUAGAUACCCUUGUAGUC